ACCUUUCUAGUAUUAGCACUCAGUACAAGUGACUUCCAAUCAUUAAGCCUUGGUUAAAAUCCAAGGAAAGGUA
This is a non-coding RNA of Polyodon spathula (Mississippi paddlefish), 73 nucleotides long. NCBI's taxonomy places the organism in Eukaryota, Metazoa, Chordata, Actinopteri, Acipenseriformes, Polyodontidae. The record is from the annotation of a RefSeq genome assembly.